This 452-nucleotide unclassified non-coding RNA is filed under the name Hevea brasiliensis (rubber tree). Lineage: Eukaryota; Viridiplantae; Streptophyta; Magnoliopsida; Malpighiales; Euphorbiaceae. The record is from RNAcentral.
AUUUCUUCUUUUCUAGUUCCUCCUUUUCCUUCUUCUUCUUCUUCCUUAUUUUUCACAAAAUUCAGGUCAGCACCAUUUCUUAGAUUCUCUUUUGCAGUUGCACCCCUGUGUUAUCGUAGCGGAGGAGGAGUAGGAGGAAGAGGAGCGGGGAAGCUCAUGGCUCACUCUUUAGCUCGUGCCACUCUUGGCCUUACACAGCCCGCCAACGUCGAUGUCCCCAAGAUUUCUUUUGCUGCGAAAGAUGUUGGUGCGGUGGAAUGGAAAGGAGAUAUACUUGCAGUGGGUGUUACUGAGAAAGAUAUGGCCAAGGAUGAGAGCACAAAGUUUGAGAACUCACUUCUCAAGAAGCUAGAUGCCCAUUUGGGUGGUCUCUUAAGUGAAGCCUCUUCUGAGGAGGAUUUCACUGGAAAAGCUGGUCAAUCAAUUGUUCUUAGACUUCCAGGUCUUGGUUC